CCUACGGGAGGCAGCAGUGGGGAAUAUUGGGCAAUGGAGGAAACUCUGACCCAGCAACGCCGCGUGAAUGAUGAAGGUCUUCGGAUUGUAACGUUCUUUUCUAAGGGAAGAAGAAAGUGACGGUACCUUAGGAAUAAGCCUCGGCUAACUACGUGCCAGCAGCCGCGGUAAUACGUAGGAGGCGAGCGUUAUCCGGAAUGACUGGGCGUACAGGGUGCGUAGGUGGUUUGGCAAGUUAGUAGCGUAACUCCAAGGCUCAACCUUGGAACUACUACUAAAACUGUUGGACUUGAGUGCAGGGGGGGCAAGCGGAAUUCCUAGUGUAGCGGUGGAAUGCGUAGAUAUUAGGAGGAACACCAGUGGCGAAGGCGGGUUGCUAGGCUGUAACUGACACUGAGGCACGAAAGCGUGGGGAGCAAACAGGAUUAGAUACCCGGGUAGUC
RNAcentral lists this ribosomal RNA (443 nucleotides) under uncultured bacterium. Its description in RNAcentral is "partial 16S ribosomal RNA". It matches the Rfam family "Bacterial small subunit ribosomal RNA", at positions 338 to 795 of the family's 1533-position model. The record is from RNAcentral.